This 71-nucleotide transfer RNA is filed under the name Marmota monax (woodchuck). Its description in RNAcentral is "tRNA.Ala". It matches the Rfam family "tRNA". From Rfam's summary of the family: Transfer RNA (tRNA) molecules are approximately 80 nucleotides in length. Their secondary structure includes four short double-helical elements and three loops (D, anti-codon, and T loops). The record is from RNAcentral. Lineage: Eukaryota; Metazoa; Chordata; Mammalia; Rodentia; Sciuridae.
GAGGUUGUGGCUCAGUGGUAGAGCACUUGCCUAGCAUGUGUGAAGCACUGGGUUUGAUUCUCAGCACCACA